CUGGAUAAUUGCGAUCUUCAGUUUCCAGCAAACAUUGUUUUUGGUUUUACUAGAGGGACGUGCGUGUCAUGGAGAGUGAGGAUUUGCCUCGAAAGGCACUCCAAAAAUUGAACAGAGAAAUCCCAAGCAAGCUGCCCGAAUUUGCCUGUAUAGUCUUGUUCUACAUUAUAUAAAGGACCAGACAAAUCAAAUUGGUGUUUUUUGGUUUCCGCCCGCCCUGGAUGCCGUUGACAUUAUGACCGCAGAGGAUUCCAGCACAGCCAUGAGCAGCGACCCGGCCGCCGCCUGCUCGGCCAAGGUGCCCGAGGGCGUGGCGGGCGCGCCCAACGAGGCGGCGCUGGUGGCGCUGCUGGAGCGCACCGGCUACAGCAUGGUGCAGGAGAACGGGCAGCGCAAGUACGGCGGCCCGCCGCCCGGCUGGGAGGGCGCGCACCCGCAGCGCGGCUGUGAGGUCUUCGUGGGCAAGAUCCCGCGCGACGUGUACGAGGACGAGCUGGUGCCCGUGUUCGAGACAGUGGGCCGCAUCUACGAGCUGCGCCUCAUGAUGGACUUCGACGGCAAGAACCGCGGCUACGCCUUCGUCAUGUACUGCCACAAGCACGAGGCCAAGCGCGCCGUGCGCGAGCUCAACAACCACGAGAUCCGGCCGGGCCGCCUGCUGGGCGUGUGCUGCAGCGUCGACAACUGCCGCCUCUUCAUCGGCGGCAUCCCCAAGAUGAAGAAGCGCGAGGAGAUCCUGGAGGAGAUCGCCAAGGUCACCGAGGGCGUGCUCGACGUCAUCGUCUACGCCAGCGCGGCCGACAAGAUGAAGAACCGCGGCUUUGCCUUCGUCGAGUAUGAGAGCCACCGCGCCGCCGCCAUGGCGCGCCGCAAGCUCAUGCCCGGCCGCAUCCAGCUGUGGGGCCACCAGAUCGCCGUGGACUGGGCCGAGCCCGAGAUCGACGUGGACGAGGACGUGAUGGAGACCGUGAAGAUCCUGUACGUGCGCAACCUCAUGAUCGAGACCACCGAGGACACCAUCAAGAAGAGCUUCGGCCAGUUCAACCCCGGCUGCGUGGAGCGUGUCAAGAAGAUCCGCGACUACGCCUUCGUGCACUUCAGCAGCCGCGAGGACGCAGUGCACGCCAUGAACAACCUCAACGGCACCGAGCUGGAGGGCUCGUGCCUCGAGGUCACACUCGCCAAGCCCGUGGACAAGGAGCAGUACUCCCGCUACCAGAAGGCGGCCAAGGGCGGCAGUGCGGCCGAGGCGGCGGCGCCACAGCCCAGCUACGUGUACUCGUGCGACCCCUACACGCUGGCCUACUACGGCUACCCCUACAACGCGCUCAUCGGGCCCAACAGGGACUACUUCGUGAAAGCAGGCAGCAUAAGAGGCCGAGGGCGAGGUGCAGCUGGCAACAGAGCCCCAGGGCACAGGGGUUCCUACCUCGGGGGAUAUUCUGCUGGCCGUGGUAUAUAUAGCCGAUAUCAUGAAGGGAAAGGAAAGCAGCAAGAAAAAGGAUAUGAACUUGUGCCGAAUUUGGAAAUCUCUGCCGUUAAUCCAGUUGCCAUUAAACCUGGUACAGUGGCCAUCCCUGCCAUUGGACCCCAGUAUUCCAUGUUUCAGGCAGCCCCAGCCCCUAAAAUGAUUGAAGAUGGCAAAAUCCACACAAUGGAGCACAUGAUCAGCCCUAUUGCUGUGCAGCCAGACCCAGCUAGUGCUGCUGCAGCUGCUGCCGCCGCCGCUGCUGCCGCCACUGCUGUCAUUCCUGCCGUGUCCACGCCACCACCUUUCCAGGGCCGCCCAAUAACUCCUGUGUACACGGUGGCUCCAAACGUUCAGAGAAUCCCCGCUGCCGGGAUCUACGGGGCCAGUUACGUGCCAUUUGCUGCUCCGGCCACAGCCACGAUCGCCACACUACAGAAGAACGCGGCAGCGGCCGCCGCCGUGUACGGAGGAUACGCAGGCUACAUACCUCAGGCCUUCCCCGCUGCUGCUAUCCAGGUCCCCAUUCCCGACGUCUACCAGACAUACUGAGGGCAAGAGCAGAGACAAACCACAGAAACACCACUGAAGGAACGCUUUAUUUAUGAAGAAAGAACGUGUCAGAUUAGCACACGCAUGAAACCUGAAAGUGAAGAAUAGUUAUCAACCAUCGUGCGGAAAUAUUUUAUAUACAUGAAGUUUUCACUAGUUUUUUAAGACUAUUUUCACCUUAGCAGGCCUGUGUUCAUACAUUUCUAAGAGACUUGCAAUGGUUCGUGCCUUGAUACCAUCUUUUAAAAAUUUGUAUACUGUACUACAUUUGUAUAGAGGUUUUUUUUUUUUAAGGAUAUAUUUUCAGUAUGAAGGUUAUUUUCUUAACUUCUGCACUCCAGAGAUUUCUAUUUUGUAGUACCUUCAAUAAUAUAUCAACUAUAUAUUAAAAAAAAGCACACUUGAGCAGCUAGGGAACUAUUUUGAAAAGUAUAUUCAAUAUUUAAAGAUACAAACAAUAGUGCUCUAAAAUACUAUGUAAAACUAUUUUAAAGGUUAUACUGGAAAGUGCAAUUUUAAAAUGAGUAAAACCUCUGUAUUUCUGCUGGCAUUAAGGGUUGAUGGUGUUACCAUGUGUCAUACAUGAUGGUUCUAUUUUUUAAAAAACAUAACACUCAAUCUGUCCUUAAGCCAACAUUGCAAAGAGUCACACUUCUGAGUCCAAACACUGGAAAGCUCUCACCUGUGACCAUUAUACUGGGCUUUCUCCAUGUGCCUUUACUUUUAAACAUGCCUCCUACCACAUCCCUCCCACCCUCCCUUCCUCCCCCAACACCCAGUCCAACCUCAGUGUUUGGCAAGUCUAGGACCAAUGAGUAACUCUGAUAGAGAAAAAAACUGAUGGCUUUUAUACUUCUUCCUGGGUUUUUGUUGGGUUUUUUGUUGUAUUGUGUGGUUUUGGUUUUGGUUUUGGUUGGGGAGGUAUUUUCAAUAGCAGAGUAAGCACAAGGUUUUAGUAGGUUUGCGUAAGAUAUCUUUGCAUAGCUAUUUAAUUGUCCAAUAUAAAACUUCAGUUCCUUUUCUAAUGCUUUAGUUUAUACGUUUUUGAAGUAAGAGUUUGUAGGGGCAAAGAAUGUAUGUUAUUAUAGACAAGACCCCCCAAAGACUCUUGUCAGCAGAAAGUUAUGCUUCUAGUUGCCUUAUGUAUGAAAAAUGCCUAUGGUGGUCAAGGGUGUUGGAAACAUGUUUAUUGAAUGGGUCUUUCCUCCGCUGCUGUGCAUUUGGCAGGUGAACUGAAUUGGGGUGUGCACAUCCAGGCGGAGGUGAAGGAGAGACCUGUAGGAGUUAAAAGAUCGUUUGUAAAUAACUUCUAAUACUUGUUUUUAGUCCUUUUAUGUUGCAGAAGUUCAUGGUAUGUAGUUUAAUGAAAAAUGAAACCAUUUUAUUUCAAUGUUAUUAAAAAGGGUUUUAUUAAGAAGUAAAUGUAUCAUGGCAGUGUUUUGUGCCUGUUUAAAGGCUUUUGUUUAGCAGAGUGAAUGUAAAAUACAGUAAAAUAUUAAUAUUGUCAUCUAUCUUAUGAAAGACGUCAACUUGGAAUUUUUUUUUAAAGGCUCAAGGAAGUGAGGUGUGCAAUAGGAAGACAGUAUGCAGUCAUGUCUGUGUCAUGGGAGCGAUCCAUAAACUCUUUCCAUUCACUGGAUUUUUGUUGAUGGCUGUAUUCUUGUGGAUUAAUAAGAAGAUCAUGCCCUUAGCAAAUAAUUUUUUGUUUUAAAUUAAGAGAUUCCCAAAUGCUUUUCCCCCCACUCAUGUUGGGAUGAGAUGAGUUUUUUUAUGUGUGAUAUUUAUUUAACUAUUCUAUAAAAUUAUUAAGUGCCUGCUAAGGCCUUUAAACAUUCCUAACAUUCCUUUCCAUCAUUCUUAAAUGACAUAAAGUAAUUGUGCAAUGUUCUUGAUGAUGUACCUAGCAAGCUGCAUGCAAACUCGAAUCUAUUGAAUGACUAAUCCAACAAAAUGCAAUUUGGAUCAGAUCCUCAACCCCUUGACUGUGUGAAAGAAGUACUCUCCUUCCAGUGAAGGAUUGUCACAGAGGUUCACUCUUUGAAACUCUGCCCCAGUGUUCUUACUGUAUUUUACAUGUGCCUGUAAAUUAUUUGCAAAAAAAGAAAAAAAAAAUGGUAACUUAACAUGGCAACUACCAAACUACCUUAAAACAAAUGUUGGUGACAUAGCCAGUUAAGUGUCAGUGAGCCUCCUGUCUGUGGUCUUGUUUGUUCCUGUUGUUUCAAAACCAUUUCAUGUACACUACUGAGGUGAGUUUAUAACUUGAAAUGUGAACUUUUUUUUAGGGUUAAGAACAAACUAUAUAAAUGUUAAAAAAAAAAAAGUUUUAGAGUUCUGUUUUCAAAUGUGCUAGUAGUUUAGUAACUUAGCUGCUUUGUAUUUGAGAAGCUUUUAUUUAGAUCUUGCUCCAUUUAAAGUACGUUCUUAGGAUGUACGUACUAAAUAAAGCUUUCUUUAAAGCAA
Molecule: RNA transcript, 4483 nt
Organism: Galeopterus variegatus (Sunda flying lemur)
Lineage: Eukaryota; Metazoa; Chordata; Mammalia; Dermoptera; Cynocephalidae
Gene: RBM47
Gene name: RNA binding motif protein 47
Exons: 7
Source: RefSeq, a predicted model, not a curated record